Molecule: long non-coding RNA, 803 nt
Filed under: Numida meleagris (helmeted guineafowl)
Lineage: Eukaryota; Metazoa; Chordata; Aves; Galliformes; Numididae
Description: lncRNA (ENSNMEG00000004532.1)
Source: RNAcentral
UGUGAUGACAGCACUGAAUCCUGCUGAGAUCUUCUCUGACUACCCAUACUCACAACAGUGAAGGUUAGGACUGGGUGACAAUGCAGGUACUUCAGAGCUGGCCUGUGGGGUAGGAGAGGUGAAUGAGGUUGCUAAUACCUUUCUCAGCUGUACAGCAAAGUCAUGCCUCUUCUGUCACCUGUGGAUGGUGUGGGACGGCGCUGUUGCCAACUCUGAUCACCGGUGACAACCAGGCCCUUCCCUCCCACGGACGGUAGAAGCAGUGUGAAGCUGUGCACACAUGACAUGGAAGGCACGGUCCUCCUGGGGUUGUGCCAGGCUCUGCAGAUUGGGCACGGCACUGCCUGCCAGUGUUUCAGAGAAUCUCAGGCGAUGAGGAGCCUACAUCAUCUGUGGAAGGGGGACUAAGAGUUAACUGUUUCCAGCUGUGUAUUCUUUGGAUGCAUUUCCACUCCAGCUUUUUCCAUAAUACGGAGCCGGCCCAUUUCCAAAUCCCAGAUGUGCUAUUUAUUUACUCCAAAGCAUCUGGGCCCCGACGUGGUCUUGUCACUGCAACGUGGCAAACUUGUGAAGGAUAGGAGUGGCAGCCAGCUAACAAACUGUACCGUGCUGGCGAGCGAGUCUGUACAAAUUAGAAUCCAACCAACUUGUUUUGCACAUCACAUCAGGAACCAGAUGUACCCCUGGAGUAAUUCCACUGAUGCAGAGAGACUUCAGGAAAGCAUCUCUGGCACAGUAGAAGGAUAAAGCAUUGCUGGUGUUGGUAGAUGGGCACUUCUAGAUCUGCAGCGAGCAUGGCUGAC